This 393-nucleotide ribosomal RNA is filed under the name uncultured bacterium. Its description in RNAcentral is "partial 16S ribosomal RNA". It matches the Rfam family "Bacterial small subunit ribosomal RNA", at positions 523 to 918 of the family's 1533-position model. The record is from RNAcentral.
AUACGGAGGAUGCGAGCGUUAUCCGGAUUUAUUGGGUUUAAAGGGUGCGUAGGCGGACGAUUAAGUCAGCUGUGAAAUGCCCGCGCUUAACGCGGGAAGUGCAGUUGAUACUGGUUGUCUGGAGUGCCGUUGCCGUGGGGGGAAUGUGUAGUGUAGCGGUGAAAUGCAUAGAUAUUACACAGAACGCCGAUUGUGAAGACACCUCACGAAGCGGUAACUGACGCUGAGGCACGAAUGCGUGGGGAUCGAACAGGAUUAGAUACCCUGGUAGUCCGCACAGUAAACGAUGAAUACUUGUUUUCGGCGAUAUAAUGUCGGAGGCAAAGCGAAAGCGAUAAGUAUUCCACCUGGGGAGUACGCCGGCAACGGUGAAACUCAAAGGAAUUGACGGGG